AAGACUCAAAGACGCGCUAAAACUGAGUUACCCUUACCUUAGCCAAUUUCCUGCCUAAACUGCAUCUACAAUCCAAUCACAUCCUUGCUUUCCCGUGUCGGCUCGCUUCUUUUUGUCCUUUGGCUUCGUCGCCAAGCGCUUCCGUUAUUCGUACCCUCAGUUCUCAAGGCUGUGGGGCUAAUUUGAACUCCUCCAUCUUCUCUGGUCGUGGUCUCC
Molecule: long non-coding RNA, 216 nt
Filed under: Lotus japonicus
Lineage: Eukaryota; Viridiplantae; Streptophyta; Magnoliopsida; Fabales; Fabaceae
Description: long non-coding RNA (LJAP_LNC001634)
Source: RNAcentral